RNAcentral lists this ribosomal RNA (269 nucleotides) under uncultured Eubacteriales bacterium. RNAcentral's name for it is "uncultured Clostridiales bacterium partial 16S ribosomal RNA". It matches the Rfam family "Bacterial small subunit ribosomal RNA", at positions 76 to 339 of the family's 1533-position model. Lineage: Bacteria; Bacillati; Bacillota; Clostridia; Eubacteriales. The record is from RNAcentral.
UAGCUUGCUACCGGUUAUUUCUAGCGGCGGACGGGUGAGUAACGCGUGAGCAACCUGCCUUUAUCAGGGGGAUAACGCAUCGAAAGAUGUGCUAAUACCGCGUAAGACCACAGCCUCACAUGGGGCAGGGGUCAAAGGAGCAAUCCGGAUAAAGAUGGGCUCGCGUCCGAUUAGCUAGUUGGUGAGAUAACAGCCCACCAAGGCGACGAUCGGUAGCCGACCUGAGAGGGUGAUCGGCCACAUUGGAACUGAGAGACGGUCCAGACUCC